GGCUAAGAUUCUCAAUAGUUUGAUAUUCUGUGGUGUGUUUUACAAAUUGGCUGCUAGAUGGCGCUGAGAUAAAUUUGUUAAACUUGCGCAUUGAACAUCAUUUUCACUAUCCUUACCACCGAAGAUAAAGGAUCACAAACAUAUGGCGUACUACAUCACGAAGUCUAACUAAUCGAUUGGAGCGCCUUGGGAAAUAUCAAACUUCUUCUACACCGUUGGAAGAGUCAACUACUUCUUCUACAUCGCUAGAAGAUUCACCAACUAAGUCCAAAUCUAACGCCUAAGCACGAACACUCACUUCCUCUACUAAGUAUCCUCUAGUGCUACGUCCACUAACAUAGGAAGUUCAAGUCUAAGAGCCUUGCUCUAGCGUGCAUAUCUAUCUUACCUUCGGGCGACAAGUUGUCAUCAAGGAAUUAUAUCUACUCAACAGUGUAACUUAAGUGUUGGAAAUAAAAUCUUAUAAUUCUGUGAA
This is a long non-coding RNA of Bombus huntii, 475 nucleotides long. RefSeq lists it as uncharacterized. Lineage: Eukaryota; Metazoa; Arthropoda; Insecta; Hymenoptera; Apidae. The record is from RefSeq and is a predicted model, not a curated record. The transcript has 2 exons.